GGCUAUUUGUCAGGUAAUGUGUGAUUUUUCCCAUGUAUGUGGCGCCCCACGUUGACUCACUUUUUCCUAUCCUGAAUCAUUUCUGUUUUCCUAAUCCAGACAGGCAUCAUGGCCUCAAAUCAUGCCCCCGUGAAGAUAGCCGCUUUAGUUAGUGGCCCUAUACGAGCAAAACACUGAAUUGUCAAGUUCCACGUGCCUUUGAAUGGUCCCAACCUCCUAUAAAAUUCGUGAACCUUAGUAAACUUGAUAAAGAAUCGCUUAUCACUCAUUUGACUGUUUUUAAUUCUGCUAUUUUUAGGUGUAAACUUCAGGGUUCAUUUGCUAUAUGUACCAAAUAAUAUAAAUUCAUUUGGUUUUCCUCAUUCAAUCAUGUUAUUUUUUUAUAUAAGAUUAGAUCAAUCAUGUUGGCUUGAUCUUAGUAAUGUUAUCUACAUGACAU
This 439-nucleotide long non-coding RNA is filed under the name Medicago truncatula (barrel medic). RNAcentral describes it as "lncRNA gene3654". Lineage: Eukaryota; Viridiplantae; Streptophyta; Magnoliopsida; Fabales; Fabaceae. The record is from RNAcentral.